GAUGAACGCUGGCGGCGUGCUUAACACAUGCAAGUCGAACGGAAAGGCCCAAGCUUGCUUGGGUACUCGAGUGGCGAACGGGUGAGUAACACGUGGGUGAUCUGCCCUGCACUUCGGGAAAAGCCUGGGAAACUGGGUCUAAUACCGGAUAGGACGAUGGUUUGGAUGCCAUUGUGGAAAGUUUUUUCGGUGUGGGAUGAGCUCGCGGCCUAUCAGCUUGUUGGUGGGGUAAUGGCCUACCAAGGCGUCGACGGGUAGCCGGCCGGAGAGGGUGUACGGCCACAUUGGGACUGAGAUACGGCCCAGACUCCGACGUGAGGCAGCAGUGGGGAAUAUUGCACAAUGGGCGCAAGCCUGAUGCAGCGACGCCGCGUGGGGGAUGACGGCCUUCGGGUUGUAAACUCCUUUCGCUAGGGACGAAGCGUUUUUGUGACGGUACCUGGAGAAGAAGCACCGGCUAACUACGUG
This 468-nucleotide ribosomal RNA is filed under the name uncultured bacterium. Its description in RNAcentral is "partial 16S ribosomal RNA". It matches the Rfam family "Bacterial small subunit ribosomal RNA", at positions 28 to 507 of the family's 1533-position model. The record is from RNAcentral.